UACGAAGGGGGCUAGCGUUGCUCGGAAUCACUGGGCGUAAAGGGCGCGUAGGCGGCCAUUCAAGUCAGGGGUGAAAGCCUGUGGCUCAACCACAGAAUUGCCUUUGAUACUGUUUGGCUAGAGACCGGAAGAGGUAAGUGGAACUGCGAGUGUAGAGGUGAAAUUCGUAGAUAUUCGCAAGAACACCAGUGGCGAAGGCGGCUCACUGGCCCGGUACUGACGCUGAGGUGCGAAAGCGUGGGGAGCAAACAGG
Molecule: ribosomal RNA, 253 nt
Filed under: uncultured bacterium
Lineage: Bacteria
Description: partial 16S ribosomal RNA
Rfam family: Bacterial small subunit ribosomal RNA
Source: RNAcentral